UACGUAGGGUGCAAGCGUUAAUCGGAAUUACUGGGCGUAAAGCGUGCGCAGGCGGUUCGCUAAGACAGAUGUGAAAUCCCCGGGCUUAACCUGGGAACUGCAUUUGUGACUGGCGGGCUAGAGUAUGGCAGAGGGGGGGUAGAAUUCCACGUGUAGCAGUGAAAUGCGUAGAUAUGUGGAGGAAUACCGAUGGCGAAGGCAGCCCCCCUGGGAUAACACUGACGCUCAUGCACGAAAGCGUGGGGAGCAAACAGG
This 255-nucleotide ribosomal RNA is filed under the name uncultured bacterium. Its description in RNAcentral is "partial 16S ribosomal RNA". It matches the Rfam family "Bacterial small subunit ribosomal RNA", at positions 524 to 776 of the family's 1533-position model. The record is from RNAcentral.